GAAACGGUAGGCUAAUACCGCAUAAGGUCGCAAGACCAAAGAGGGGGACCUUCGGGCCUCUUGCCAUCGGAUGUGCCCCAGAUGGGAUUAGCUAGUAGGUGGGGUAACGGCUCACCUAGGCGACGAUCCCUAGCUGGUCUGAGAGGAUGACCAGCCACACUGGAAGUGAGACACGGUCCAGACUCCUACGGGAGGCAGCAGUGGGGAAUAUUGCACAAUGGGCGCAAGUCUGAUGCAGCCAUGCCGCGUGUAUGCUGAAGGCCUUCGGGUUGUAAAGUACUUUCAGCCGUGGGAGGAAGGGAGUAAAGUUAAUACCUUUGCUCAAU
RNAcentral lists this ribosomal RNA (326 nucleotides) under Escherichia coli. RNAcentral describes it as "bacterial SSU rRNA". It matches the Rfam family "Bacterial small subunit ribosomal RNA", at positions 153 to 477 of the family's 1533-position model. The record is from RNAcentral. Lineage: Bacteria; Pseudomonadati; Pseudomonadota; Gammaproteobacteria; Enterobacterales; Enterobacteriaceae.